CGCGGAGUGGAGCAGUCCGGUAGCUCGUCGGGCUCAUAACCCGAAGGUCGUUGGUUCGAAUCCAGCCUCCGCAACCA
Molecule: transfer RNA, 77 nt
Filed under: Oscillospiraceae bacterium
Lineage: Bacteria; Bacillati; Bacillota; Clostridia; Eubacteriales; Oscillospiraceae
Description: tRNA-Met
Rfam family: tRNA
About the family: Transfer RNA (tRNA) molecules are approximately 80 nucleotides in length. Their secondary structure includes four short double-helical elements and three loops (D, anti-codon, and T loops).
Source: RNAcentral